RNAcentral lists this long non-coding RNA (544 nucleotides) under Theobroma cacao (cacao). RNAcentral's name for it is "long non-coding RNA (TCAC_LNC005594)". Lineage: Eukaryota; Viridiplantae; Streptophyta; Magnoliopsida; Malvales; Malvaceae. The record is from RNAcentral.
CCACAACUUCUUAAAAUUCUAUCAAUGCAUGCUUUUCAUAAAUUUUGCACUUCACGUAAAAUAGACGUACAUGUAUAUAUAUUUAGAAUUUUUAAAAUUGACACCCCCUACUCACCUUAUAAUAGUGAGAUAUUACUUCACUAUUAAUUCGUACGCGUAUAUAAUGAUUCCUAUUUGUCGGUCACAUAUUUCGUUUGGCACGCCUCCACGACAAACUUUCCUAGCAACAAUUUAAACUUAGUAUACUUAAUCACACAUUUGUAUGAGUAGCAACUCAAUUAAAAAUUCCUUAAGCAACUUGCAUAUUUUUCAUCUAAAAUAUGCACAAUAUUAAACUACCCAUAAACUUUAAAAUAUAACAUUAACUUACCAUUGGACCUUUUUCAUUUCUUUAUGACCUUUGGACCCUCUCCAUGGGCUUCUCCAUUUUUUUCCUAUUUGGGUCAAGUUCAUUUAUUUUUAUUUCAUAUUGGGCCAUGCCCACUUAUUUUCUAUUGGGUCAUGCCCAUUUAUUUUCUAUUUCUUUUCUUUUCUUUCUUUUUCU